AGAACGAACGCUGGCGGCAUGCCUAACACAUGCAAGUCGAACGAGACCUUCGGGUCUAGUGGCGCACGGGUGCGUAACGCGUGGGAAUCUGCCCUUGGGUUCGGAAUAACAGUUAGAAAUGACUGCUAAUACCGGAUGAUGACGAAAGUCCAAAGAUUUAUCGCCCAGGGAUGAGCCGCGUAGGAUUAGCUAGUUGGUGAGGUAAAGGCUCAACCAAGGCGACGUAUCCUUAGCUGGUCUGAGAGGAUGAUCAGCCACACUGGGACUGAGACCACCGGCCCAGACCUCCGUACGGGAGGCGAGGCAGGUGGGAAUAGUGACGAAGUGGGAACGAAAGCCGUAGAC
This 345-nucleotide ribosomal RNA is filed under the name uncultured soil bacterium. RNAcentral's name for it is "bacterial SSU rRNA". It matches the Rfam family "Bacterial small subunit ribosomal RNA", at positions 26 to 389 of the family's 1533-position model. The record is from RNAcentral.